GAGAUAGCUGGUUCUCCCCGAAAUAGCUUUAGGGCUAGCCUCAGGGAAAAGAUUGCAGGCGGUAGAGCACUGAUCAGGAGAGGGACCUACCCGGUUACCAAACCCAGUCAAACUCCGAAUGGCUGCAAUCAUACCUGGGAGUCAGACUGCGACUAAUAAGGGCCGCAGUCAAAAGGGAAACAGCCCAGACCAUCAGCUAAGGUCCCCAAUGCCGUGCUAAGUGGCAAAGGAUGUGGCAUUUCAUAAACAACCAGGAUGUUGGCUCAGAAGCAGCCACCAUUUAAAGAGUGCGUAAUAGCUCACUGGUCGAGAGACGCUGCGCCGAAAAUGUCCGGGGCUCAAGCACGGAACCGAAGCUAUGGCAUGAUAGCAAUAUCAUGGGUAGGGGAGCGUUCUUAUAAGGAAGAAGCAUGACCGGAAGGACAUGUGGACAAAUAAGAAGUGAGAAUGCCGGUAUGAGUAUCGAAAAGAAAGGUGAGAAUCCUUUCCACCGAAAGCCCGAGGGUUCCUGAGCAACGAUCGUCGACUCAGGGUAAGUCGGGACCUAAGCCGAGGCGAGAAGCGUAGGCGAUGGACAACAGGUUGAAAUUCCUGUACCGGAUCAAGUCGAUCGAGCGAAGGAGCGACGCAGGAGGGCACAUGAUCGCGCGGCUGGAAGAGCGCGUCCAAGUGCGUAUGUUGCAGCAGAGGAAAACCCCUGCGGCUGAAAGCAGAGACAUGAUGGGGAGUUAAAGGAAACUUUGACGAACUCAUGGAUCCCACACUGCCAAGAAAAACUUCUAGCGAGACAAGAUCCGCCCGUACCGUAAACCGACACAGGUAGGCGGGGAGAGAAUCCUAAGGUGCGCGGGAAAACCCUCGUUAAGGAACUCGGCAAAUUGCAUCCGUAACCUAGGGAGAAGGAUGGCCCCCGGUCAGUGAAGAGCAGAAACGCUCAGAGCUAAAAGGGGCGGCAGAAAAGAGGCCCAAGCAACUGUUUACCAAAAACACAGGUGCCUGCGAAAGCGAAAGCUGAAGUAUAGGUGCUGACGCCUGCCCGGUGCCGGAAGGUUAAGGAGAGAAGUUAGCGAAAGCGAAGCAUCGAACUGAAGCCCCGGUGAACGGCGGCCGUAACUAUAACGGUCCUAAGGUAGCGAAAUUCCUUGUCGGGUAAGUUCCGACCCGCAUGAAAGGCGUAAUGAUUUGGGCACUGUCUCAACGAGGGGCCCGGUGAAAUUGAAAUACCUGUGAAGAUGCAGGUUACCCGCGACUGGACAGAAAGACCCCAUGGAGCUUCACUGCAGCUUGAGAUUGAAUCCCGGUGACAGAUGCACAGGAUAGGUGGGAGGCGCCGAAGCAUUGCCCUAGGGCGGUGCGGAGCCGAUGUUGGGAUACCACCCUUCUGUUGCUGAGAUUCUAACGCGAGGAGUAACGACCCUGCGGACCCUCUCAGGCAGGCGGUUUGACUGGGGCGGUCGCCUCCGAAAGAGUAACGGAGGCGCC
This 1482-nucleotide ribosomal RNA is filed under the name human gut metagenome. Its description in RNAcentral is "bacterial LSU rRNA". It matches the Rfam family "Bacterial large subunit ribosomal RNA", at positions 842 to 2310 of the family's 2925-position model. The record is from RNAcentral.